UGCUCCAGACCCAGACAACUCUUGGUUGGAUGGUGCGGAGCCCGGCCGCAGCCCGGGGCGCGGAUGCCUGCCCGCCGCCCGCCCUCUCUGCAGGAGGGGCCGCGCGGCUCCCAGCGAGACCCCAUCCAGGCGCCGCCCCCGGCCAGGCUGGGGAGCGCAGAGGAGCAUUAUUAUUACUGACUGUGACAGCAGCUCCCAUGAAGCCUGUGCCUUAGCUGCAGACCCUGAGCAGGGCAGAGAGACAAGACUAUAUUUGUAUCAGGUUUGUCAUCUGGGUUGUGACUCUCGACUUGCCCAGGAUUCUUUCUGGUCCUGACCGAGU
Molecule: long non-coding RNA, 322 nt
Filed under: Theropithecus gelada (gelada)
Lineage: Eukaryota; Metazoa; Chordata; Mammalia; Primates; Cercopithecidae
Description: lncRNA (ENSTGEG00000018099.1)
Source: RNAcentral